UACGAAGGGUGCAAGCGUUACUCGGAAUUACUGGGCGUAAAGGGUGCGUAGGUGGUCGUUUAAGUCCGUUGUGAAAUCCCUGGGCUCAACCUGGGAAUGGCAGUGGAUACUGGACGGCUAGAAUGCGGUAGAGGGUAGUGGAAUUCCCGGUGUAGCAGUGAAAUGCGCAGAUAUCGGGAGGAACACCCGUAGCGAAGGCGGCACUCUGGGCCGGUACUGACGCUGAGGCGCGAAAGCGUGGGGAGCAAACAGG
RNAcentral lists this ribosomal RNA (253 nucleotides) under uncultured bacterium. Its description in RNAcentral is "partial 16S ribosomal RNA". It matches the Rfam family "Bacterial small subunit ribosomal RNA", at positions 524 to 776 of the family's 1533-position model. The record is from RNAcentral.